CUAAAGAUUAAUUCACCUAAUCCUUUAUAACAAAUCCUAUAACUCUCAUCCCUUAAAAUAUCAACAAUCCUCCUCACCUUCUA
This 83-nucleotide transfer RNA is filed under the name Bottapotamon lingchuanense. RNAcentral describes it as "tRNA-Met". Lineage: Eukaryota; Metazoa; Arthropoda; Malacostraca; Decapoda; Potamidae. The record is from RNAcentral.